CCGCUAUUGGAGUUCGAUUAAGCCAUGCGAGUCUAGAGGCCUAGCCUCGGCGUACCGCUCAGUAACACGUGGGUAACCUGCCCUAUGCUGGAGAAUAACCUCGGGAAACUGAGAAUAAUGCUCCAUAGUCCACAAUGCCUGGAACGGUUUGUGGAUAAAAGCUCCGGCGGCAUAGGAUGGGCCUGCGCCGUAUCAGGUUGUAGGGGGUGUAAAGUACCCUCUAGCCAUCAACGCGUACGGGUGUUGAGAGACAUUGCCCGGAGAUGGAUCCUGAGACACGAAUCCAGACCCUACGGGGUGCAGCAGGCGCGAAAACUUGGCAAUGCGAGAAAUCGUGACCAGGGAACUCCAAGUGUCUAGGUUAAUACCUAGUCUUUUCUUGACUCUUCAAAGGUCUAGGAAUAAGGGGUGGGUAAGGGCGGUGCCAGCCGCCGCGGUAAUACCGGCGCCUCAAGUGGUAGUCGCUUUUAUUGGGCCUAAAACGUCCGUAGCCGGUUUGGUACAUUCGUGGGUAAAUCAAUCCGCUCAACGGAUUGAAUUCUGCGAGCACGGCCAGACUUGGGACCGGGAGAGGUGUGGGGUACUCUCAGGGUAGGGGUAAAAUCCUGUCAUCCUGAGAGGACCACCUGUUGCGAAGGCGCCACACUAGAACGGAUCCGACGGUCAGGGACGAAACCUAGGGGCACGAACCGGAUUAGAUACCCGGGUAGUCCUAGGUGUAAACGCUGUGGACUUGAUGUUGGGGGCGCUCCGAGCGCUUUCAGUGUCGAAGCGAAGGUGAUAAGUCCACUGCCUGGGGAGUACGGUCGCAAGGCUGAAACUUAAAGGAAUUGGCGGGGGAGCACUGCAACCUGAGGAUUGUGCGG
RNAcentral lists this ribosomal RNA (866 nucleotides) under uncultured archaeon. RNAcentral describes it as "bacterial SSU rRNA". It matches the Rfam family "Archaeal small subunit ribosomal RNA", at positions 27 to 900 of the family's 1478-position model. The record is from RNAcentral.